AGUCUAGUGGCAGACGGGUGAGUACCACUUGGGUGAUCUGCCUCCGAGAGGGAAAUAACCCCGAGAAAUCGGGGCUAAUGUCCCAUAAGACCACGGUUCUUCCUACGAAGAAUUGAGGCCAAAGCUCCGCAAGGGGCACUGGAGAUGAGCCCGAGGCCUAUCAGCUAGUUGGUGAGGUAAUGGCUCACCAAGGCUAAGACGGGUAGCCGGCCUGAAAGGGUGAUCGGCCACACUGGAACUGAGACACGGUCCAGACUCCUACGGGAGGCAGCAGUGGGGAAUUUUGGACAAUGGGGGCAACCCUGAUCCAGCAACGCCGCGUGAGGGAUGAAGGCCUUCGGGUCGUAAACCUCUUUUGUAGGGGACGAAUCUGUCCGUGAAUAACGGACAAUGACGGUACCCUGCGAAUAAGCCACGGCUAACUACGUGCCAGCAGCCGCGGUAAUACGUAGGUGGCAAGCGUUACUCGGAUUUACUAGGCGUAAAGCGCAGGUAGGUGGUUGGAUAAGUCCGUAAUGAAAUCUCCCGGCUUAACUGGGAGACGUUUGGGGAUACUGUCCGGCUCGAGUGUGGGAGAGGUGACUGGAAUUCCUGGUGUAGCGGUGAAAUGCGUAGAUAUCAGGAGGAACACCUAUGGCGAAAGCAGGUCACUGGCCCAAUACUGACGCUGAGCUGCGAAAGCUAGGGGAGCAAACAGGAUUAGAUACCCUGGUAGUCC
This 718-nucleotide ribosomal RNA is filed under the name uncultured bacterium. RNAcentral's name for it is "bacterial SSU rRNA". It matches the Rfam family "Bacterial small subunit ribosomal RNA", at positions 89 to 796 of the family's 1533-position model. The record is from RNAcentral.